CCCUUAGAUGUUCUGGGCCGCACGCGUGCUACACUGAGUGGAUCAGCGGGUCAGGUUGCGCGAAAGUGUUUCCUAAUCUUGAAAUCCGCUCGUGAUGGGGAUUGGCGGUUGCAAUUUUCCGUCAUGAACGAGGAAUACCUUGUAAGCGCGGGUCAUCAUCCCGCGCUGAAUACGUCCCUGCCCUUUGUACGCACCGCCCGUCGCUCCUACCGAUUGAGUGGUCCGGUGAGGCUUUGGGAUCUGAGCGGAAAGAGCGUUUCGCUGUUUCUGCUCGGAAAACUCAGUCGAACCUUAUCAUUUAGAGGAAGGAGAAGUCGUAACA
This 322-nucleotide ribosomal RNA is filed under the name uncultured eukaryote. Its description in RNAcentral is "partial 18S ribosomal RNA". It matches the Rfam family "Eukaryotic small subunit ribosomal RNA", at positions 1470 to 1796 of the family's 1831-position model. The record is from RNAcentral.